This 371-nucleotide ribosomal RNA is filed under the name uncultured organism. Its description in RNAcentral is "bacterial SSU rRNA". It matches the Rfam family "Bacterial small subunit ribosomal RNA", at positions 526 to 896 of the family's 1533-position model. The record is from RNAcentral.
CAGAGGGUGCGAGCGUUAAUCGGAAUUACUGGGCGUAAAGCGCGCGUAGGCGGCUUUUCAAGUCGGAUGUGAAAUCCCCGGGCUUAACCUGGGAACUGCAUUCGAGACUGUCUAGCUAGAGUAUGGGAGAGGGAAGUGGAAUUUCAGGUGUAGCGGUGAAAUGCGUAGAUAUCUGAAGGAACAUCAGUGGCGAAAGCGACUUCCUGGACCAAUACUGACGCUCAUGUGCGAAAGCGUGGGGAGCAAACAGGAUUAGAUACCCUGGUAGUCCACGCCAUAAACGAUGAGAACUGGAUGUCGGGAGGGUCUGCCUCUCGGUGUCGUAGCUAACGCGUUAAGUUCUCCGCCUGGGGAGUACGGCCGCAAGGUUA